Molecule: ribosomal RNA, 465 nt
Filed under: Vreelandella stevensii
Lineage: Bacteria; Pseudomonadati; Pseudomonadota; Gammaproteobacteria; Oceanospirillales; Halomonadaceae
Description: partial 16S ribosomal RNA
Rfam family: Bacterial small subunit ribosomal RNA
Source: RNAcentral
CCUACGGGAGGCAGCAGUGGGGAAUAUUGGACAAUGGGGGGAACCCUGAUCCAGCCAUGCCGCGUGUGUGAAGAAGGCCCUCGGGUUGUAAAGCACUUUCAGUGAGGAAGAACGCCUUGUGGUUAAUACCCAUCAGGAAAGACAUCACUCACAGAAGAAGCACCGGCUCACUCCGUGCCAGCAGCCGCGGUAAUACGGCGGGUGCGAGCGUUAAUCGGAAUUACUUGGCGUAAAGCGCGCGUAGGUGGCUUGAUAAGCCGGUUGUGAAAGCCCCGGGCUCAACCUGGGAACGGCAUCCGGAACUGUCAAGCUAGAGUGCAGGAGAGGAAGGUAGAAUUCCCGGUGUAGCGGUGAAAUGCGUAGAGAUCGGGAGGAAUACCAGUGGCGAAGGCGGCCUUCUGGACUGACACUGACACUGAGGUGCGAAAGCGUGGGUAGCAAACAGGAUUAGAUACCCCGGUAGUC